CCUACGGGAGGCAGCAGUGGGGAAUAUUGGGCAAUGGGCGCAAGCCUGACCCAGCAACGCCGCGUGAAGGAAGAAGGCUUUCGGGUUGUAAACUUCUUUUCUCAGGGACGAAGCAAGUGACGGUACCUGAGGAAUAAGCCACGGCUAACUACGUGCCAGCAGCCGCGGUAAUACGUAGGUGGCAAGCGUUAUCCGGAUUUACUGGGUGUAAAGGGAGUGUAGGCGGGACUGCAAGUCAGAUGUGAAAACCAUGGGCGCAAACUAUGGCCUGCAUUUGAAACUGUAGUUCUUGAGUACUGGAGAGGCAGACGGAAUUCCUAGGGUAGCGGUGAAAUGCGUAGAUAUUAGGAGGAACACCAGUGGCGAAGGCGGUAUGCUGGAGAGCAACUGACGCUGAGGCGCGAAAGCGUGGGGAGCAAACAGGAUUAGAUACCCGAGUAGUC
RNAcentral lists this ribosomal RNA (443 nucleotides) under uncultured bacterium. RNAcentral's name for it is "partial 16S ribosomal RNA". It matches the Rfam family "Bacterial small subunit ribosomal RNA", at positions 338 to 795 of the family's 1533-position model. The record is from RNAcentral.